CACAAAUCAAUCCUUCCCUGUUGUGGUGACACAGACAUCAUCCGUCGAUAGAGGCCACGCUAAAAAUCUGGACGUCGGUGCUCGCGAAUCCAGCCAUAUCCCAGUUUCCCUCCCCACUAUACCCGAUCACUCACAAUCCUCUCUUUCAACCAGGGACUUCGGGCAGACUACUAAACAGUGACCGAAACCAGUCCCAGAUCCAGCUUAGGGAUGUAACACACAAAAACUCAUCAAGACCCCUAACCGACCUCACCUCACCCCACACCCCUACAGGCCCACAACAUAUUCAAUACGCACAACUGUCACACUUCAUUCAGACCAUGAAACUUCUCCCACUAGGGUCACGCGACCUAACAGACUUUAAGAGGUUGUGUUCUACUCACCCACUCAAAAAACAAGUACAAGCUAUGUACAAGCUGUUGCUCAGGUCAACAGCCCUGAAUCUCCCCUCAUAUACAGGGAAAUGGGUUAACGAACUACAAAUUACUCUGACCCCCAACCAAUGGAAACAAAUAUUCCAGAGGACACACAAAGUCUCCA
This is a non-coding RNA of Pelobates cultripes (western spadefoot toad), 540 nucleotides long. The record is from the annotation of a GenBank genome assembly. NCBI's taxonomy places the organism in Eukaryota, Metazoa, Chordata, Amphibia, Anura, Pelobatidae.